UACAGACGGAGAGCAGAGUCUCCAGUCCCCAGCUGUCUGUCUAUGAAGAGUGACCGGUCCAGAGAUUUCCUCUGUUCUUCAGGAAUGAAACCUGGACCUUCACACACACAAGGUGAGUCCUACAGACAGAGAGCAGAGUCUCCAGUCCCCAGCUGUCUGUCUAUGAAGAGUGACCGGUCCAGAGAUCUUCCUCUGUUCUUCAGUAAUGAACCUGGACCUUCACACACACAAGGUGAGUCCUACAGACGGAGAGCAGAGUCUCCAGUCCCCAGCUGUCUGUCUGUGAAGAGUGACCGGUCCAGAGAUCCUCCUCUGUUCUUCAGGAAUGAACCUGGACCUUCACACACACAGUAA
This is a long non-coding RNA of Seriola dumerili (greater amberjack), 354 nucleotides long. RefSeq lists it as uncharacterized. The record is from RefSeq and is a predicted model, not a curated record. Lineage: Eukaryota; Metazoa; Chordata; Actinopteri; Carangiformes; Carangidae. The transcript has 3 exons.